RNAcentral lists this ribosomal RNA (253 nucleotides) under uncultured bacterium. Its description in RNAcentral is "partial 16S ribosomal RNA". It matches the Rfam family "Bacterial small subunit ribosomal RNA", at positions 524 to 776 of the family's 1533-position model. The record is from RNAcentral.
UACGGGGGGGGCAAGCGUUGUUCGGAAUUACUGGGCGUAAAGGGCUCGUAGGCGGCCAACUAAGUCAGACGUGAAAUCCCUAGGCUCAACCUAGGAACUGCGUCUGAUACUGGAUGGCUUGAAUCCGGGAGAGGGAUGCGGAAUUCCAGGUGUAGCGGUGAAAUGCGUAGAUAUCUGGAGGAACACCGGUGGCGAAGGCGGCAUCCUGGACCGGCAUUGACGCUGAGGCGCGAAAGCUAGGGGAGCAAACGGG